CAGUAGCCGCGGGAAUACAGAGGGUGCGAGCGUUAAUCGGAUUUACUGGGCGUAAAGCGUGCGUAGGUGGCCAAUUAAGUCAAAUGUGAAAUCCCCGAGCUUAACUUGGGAAUUGCAUUCGAUACUGGUUGGCUAGAGUAUAGGAGAGGAUGGUGGAAUUCCAGGUGUAGCGGUGAAAUGCGUAGAGAUCUGGAGGAAUACCGAUGGCGAAGGCAGCCAUCUGGCCUAAUACUGACGCUGAGGUACGAAAGCAUGGGGAGCAAACAGGAUUAGAUACCCGUGUAGUCCCUGUCUCUUAUAC
This 301-nucleotide ribosomal RNA is filed under the name uncultured bacterium. RNAcentral describes it as "partial 16S ribosomal RNA". It matches the Rfam family "Bacterial small subunit ribosomal RNA", at positions 509 to 807 of the family's 1533-position model. The record is from RNAcentral.